AGUGAACGCUGGCGGUAGGCCUAACACAUGCAAGUCGAACGGCAGCACAGUAAGAGCUUGCUCUUACGGGUGGCGAGUGGCGGACGGGUGAGGAAUACAUCGGAAUCUACUUUUUCGUGGGGGAUAACGUAGGGAAACUUACGCUAAUACCGCAUACGACCUACGGGUGAAAGCAGGGGAUCUUCGGACCUUGCGCGAUUGAAUGAGCCGAUGUCGGAUUAGCUAGUUGGCGGGGUAAAGGCCCACCAAGGCGACGAUCCGUAGCUGGUCUGAGAGGAUGAUCAGCCACACUGGAACUGAGACACGGACCAGACUACUACGGGAGGCAGCAGUGGGGAAUAUUGGACAAUGGGCGAAAGCCUGAUCCAGCCAUACCGCGUGGGUGAAGAAGGCCUUCGGGUUGUAAAGCCCUUUUGUUGGGAAAGAAAAGCAGCAGGUUAAUACCCCGCUGUUCUGACGGUACCCAAAGAAUAAGCACCGGCUAACUUCGUG
Molecule: ribosomal RNA, 492 nt
Filed under: uncultured bacterium
Lineage: Bacteria
Description: partial 16S ribosomal RNA
Rfam family: Bacterial small subunit ribosomal RNA
Source: RNAcentral